AUCAAGCGUAUCCGGAUUAUUGGGUUUAAAGGUGCGUAGGCGGCUUGUUAAGUCAGGGGUGAAAGGCGGUAGCUUAACUAUCGGAGUGCCCUUGAUACUGACGAGCUUGAAUGCAGCUGAGGUAGGCGGAAUGUGACAAGUAGCGGUGAAAUGCAUAGAUAUGUCACAGAACACCGAUUGCGAAGGCAGCUUACUAAAGUGCGAUUGACGCUGAGGCACGAAAGCGUGGGGAUCAAACAGGAUUAGAUACCCUGGUAGUCCACGCCCUAAACGAUGAAUACUCGAUGUUGGCGAUAUACGGUCAGCGUCUAAGCGAAAGCGUUAAGUAUUCCACCUGGGGAGUACGCCCGCAAGGGUGAAACUCAAAGGAAUUGACGGGGGCCCGCACAAGCGGAGGAGCAUGUGGUUUAAUUCGAUGAUACGCGAGGAACCUUACCCGGGCUUGAAAGUUAGUGAAUGAUACAGAGACGUAUCAGUCCUUCGGGACACGAAACUAGGUGCUGCAUGGCUGUCGUCAGCUCGUGCCGUGAGGUGUUGGGUUAAGUCCCGCAACGAGCGCAACCCCUGUGUUUAGUUGCCAGCACGUAAUGGUGGGGACUCUAAACAGACUGCCUAUGCAAAUAGAGAGGAAGGAGGGGACGACGUCAAGUCAUCAUGGCCCUUACGUCCGGGGCUACACACGUGCUACAAUGGAUGGUACAGAGGGCUGCUACCUGGCAACAGGAUGCCAAUCUCUAAAAGCCAUUCACAGUUCGGAUCGGGGUCUGCAACUCGACCCCGUGAAGUUGGAUUCGCUAGUAAUCGCGUAUCAGCAAUGACGCGGUGAAUACGUUCCCGGGCCUUGUACACACCGCCCGUCAAGCCAUGGAAGCUGGAAGUGCCUGAAGUGCGUAACCGCAAGGAGCGUCCUAGGGUAAAGUCGGUAACUGGGGCUAAGUCGUAACAAGGUAACC
Molecule: ribosomal RNA, 953 nt
Filed under: uncultured bacterium
Lineage: Bacteria
Description: bacterial SSU rRNA
Rfam family: Bacterial small subunit ribosomal RNA
Source: RNAcentral